Molecule: ribosomal RNA, 522 nt
Filed under: Pieris brassicae (large cabbage white)
Lineage: Eukaryota; Metazoa; Arthropoda; Insecta; Lepidoptera; Pieridae
Description: partial 16S ribosomal RNA
Rfam family: Bacterial large subunit ribosomal RNA (bases 392-522)
Source: RNAcentral
AACAUGUCUUUUUGAUAAUAAUUUAAAGUCUAAUCUGCCCACUGAAUUAUUUUAAAGGGCUGCAGUAUAUUGACUGUACAAAGGUAGCAUAAUCAUUAGUCUUUUAAUUGAAGACUUGUAUGAAUGAUUUGAUGAAAUAUAAACUGUCUCUUUAUUAAUAAUAGAAAUUAAUUUUUUAGUUAAAAAGCUAAAAUUUAUUUAAAAGACGAGAAGACCCUAUAGAGUUUUAUAUUUAAAUUUAUAUUAAUUCUUUAUAAAAUUUAUAUUUAAUAUUUUUUUAAUUAUUUUAUUGGGGUGAUAGAAAAAUUUAUUAAACUUUUUUUAAAAUUUUUACAUUAAUAUAUGAAAUUUUGAUCCAUAAUUUAUGAUUAAAAGAUUAAAUUACCUUAGGGAUAACAGCGUAAUUUUUUUUUUUAGUUCUUAUAAGAAAAAAAGUUUGCGACCUCGAUGUUGGAUUAAGAUAAAAUUUAAAUGCAAAAGUUUAAAAUUUUGAUCUGUUCGAUCAUUAAAAUCUUACGUGAU